AUAUGUUCUUCCAUUGUGGCAAUGUUCUGACAAAGCAAGGCAAUUUGAAUUAGUAUCAAAAGAUGCAUCUGUGCCUGCCUUCUUUUUCAAAGAAAAAUUCCAUACAACUGUUCCAUUAACAAGAAUCAGGGAUGUUGCUUUCUUUGGUCUAUGGCUGCUUCUGGAAUCUUUUAGCUUCAAACAUGGUUGGCUCUGUGAGGACAACUGGUAGUUCUGCAAUGAAAGUGGAUGUGUUCAUUCUGCGAAGCUCUUUUUGACAGCUUCUGGAGUAUAACUUUAGUUUGAUGAGACUCUUCAAAGGUUGGUUGAAAGCUACAAUAUUUAGGGAAGAUUGGAGUUGUAAGUUGAAUGAGUUCUUGGUUGCAACUUAAUCUGAUGCAAUUUAGUCCAUCUUUUUGGUGCUCAAAUGAAUCUUCAAGCUGGAAUUUCAGGUGGGAGACAUUCAGUAUGAUCAAGAGCUACAGAGAUAUAUUUGCAGGGCUUGAAAUGACAUUAGAUUCAAAUGAUUUAUUUUUCCUCUUAUGUUGUUGAAACGUUGAAACUGUGGAUUGGAAGUUGUUUUGUUUUCUAUGAAUUUAAUGAAAUAUAUUUUUAUUUCAAGAA
Lycium ferocissimum is the source of this 603-nucleotide long non-coding RNA. RefSeq lists it as uncharacterized. Lineage: Eukaryota; Viridiplantae; Streptophyta; Magnoliopsida; Solanales; Solanaceae. The record is from RefSeq and is a predicted model, not a curated record. The transcript is spliced from 2 exons.